This 245-nucleotide ribosomal RNA is filed under the name uncultured bacterium. RNAcentral describes it as "partial 16S ribosomal RNA". It matches the Rfam family "Bacterial small subunit ribosomal RNA", at positions 524 to 768 of the family's 1533-position model. The record is from RNAcentral.
AACGUAGGACGCAAGCGUUAUCCGGAGUUACUGGGCGUAAAGGGCAGGCAGGCGGGCUGGUAAGUUGGAUGUGAAAUCUCCUGGCUUAACCGGGAGGGUGCAUCUGAGACUGUCAGCCUGGAGGGCAGCAGAGGAGCGUGGAAUUCCGGGUGGAGUGGUGAAAUGCGUAGAGAUCCGGAGGAACACCAGAGGCGAAAGCGGGGCUCUGGGCUGCACCUGACGCUGAACUGCGAAAGCCAGGGGAG